GCCCAACAGGACUCACGCAGACGUACACAACCUUCACACGUCUUCUUCUCUCAUUCCCCUCAAUAAAAAAACGCCUUCUUCUCUCGCACUCACACCUUGGCCUUUCUCGAUCCCCUUUUCAUUUCCUUCUAUCCUCUCGGUCCUGCUUCCACCGGAUGAGCUCUGGCUGUUAGCGCUGCUCGGCUCACUGGUGCGGCCACGGGUUGGCCGUCUACGGCGCAUGGUUUGGCUCCUAUACGCCUCAUCGAUCUCUCAGACCGGUCAACGGAGUCGGAGGGAUAGCAGGGCCCAAGGAAAAGCUGCUCAAGGGAGGAGGCGAGCUCGUCGAUCUCGAUGGUGCUGUUGCCAUCACCGUCCAUGCAGGCGAUGUGGGUGUGGAUCUUGUCUCCCACAGCCAGCUUGGAUCCACCUUUAUUGUGAGGAUGCAUCGUGGCUCCCCGAGCGAGGCAGCUCAGCAGCUGGAGCUAGUGGCAUAUGACAGGAACUCACUAUUGAAUUUGAGUUGGUACUGACUUGAUGUGGUCUGAUUGCUCGACGGAGGUGGCUUGUGCAUGCGGGAGGAAGACAAUUUUGAAGUUCCACUGGUUGGAGGAAGUUGACCUCGAAGUGUUGCUCGCCGUAGGAAGAUGAUGUAGGAGUUGUACCCUAAUAUCUGAGGCCGUGGAAGCAUUACAUGGGGGAGAUAUUAUAGGGAUGGCUGAGUUUACCACGUUUGCACGAUGGAAAGAGAGGUUUUUUGGAUGCCAUCUAGAGAGAUAUUCUUGAUCCAUUGAUCGAUGGAGCUGAUGACAAUCGAGGAGAGUCAACAAAGGAGAUUUAGGAUGACAAUCAAGGAGAGUCAAUAGAGGAGAUUGGGAUGACAAUCGAGGAGAGUCAAUAGAGGAGAUUGGGGUGCUAGCAACAGUGGGAGGAAGGCGAUGUUCAAGUGUCGCUCAUUGGAGGAAGACGAUGUUGAAAGGGGGCUCUGAAGUCGGAGAGGAAAGCUAAUUAAAAGAUAAGAUAAAGGUACUCCAAGACCCUGGGGAAUUUGAAAAGGAAUUCAAGCAUCUACCGGCAUGCCUUUUUUCUGGUUAAGACAGUACAAUAGUGCAUGCCGUCAUGGGUGUUGUCGAUUCAAGUGCAUUCCUGCACUGAUAUCCAUAUAUCAGUCUUCACGGUGCGCUAAUCAGGCGUGAAGCCAUCUAAAUAAAGCUAAGCCCAUAAUUUACUCCUAGUUUACACCUACCCACGAACGAUUCUUCUACAAUGUCUUUGAAUUCUUACCAUCCAAUGGGGGACAUUACCUUCUACUCCCUCCGUUCCUAAAUAUAAGUCUUUUUAGACAUUUCAAAUG
This 1333-nucleotide ribosomal RNA is filed under the name Triticum aestivum (bread wheat). Its description in RNAcentral is "partial small subunit ribosomal RNA". Lineage: Eukaryota; Viridiplantae; Streptophyta; Magnoliopsida; Poales; Poaceae. The record is from RNAcentral.